RNAcentral lists this ribosomal RNA (253 nucleotides) under uncultured bacterium. Its description in RNAcentral is "partial 16S ribosomal RNA". It matches the Rfam family "Bacterial small subunit ribosomal RNA", at positions 524 to 776 of the family's 1533-position model. The record is from RNAcentral.
UACGAAGGGGGCUAGCGUUGCUCGGAAUCACUGGGCGUAAAGCGCACGUAGGCGGAUUGCUAAGUCAGGGGUGAAAUCCUGGAGCUCAACGCCAGAACUGCCUUUGAUACUGGCGACCUUGAGUCCGGGAGAGGUGAGUGGAACUGCGAGUGUAGAGGUGAAAUUCGUAGAUAUUCGCAAGAACACCAGUGGCGAAGGCGGCUCACUGGCCCGGUACUGACGCUGAGGUGCGAAAGCGUGGGGAGCAAACGGG